AGGUUUUAGUCCGUAGGUCACUGAGACACUUUCUGAGUGGAGUCGGGCAUGCCCAUUGACCCGGGCCCUUGGGUAUCCAUGAGGAUUUCCU
This is a non-coding RNA of Bombyx mori (domestic silkworm), 91 nucleotides long. Lineage: Eukaryota; Metazoa; Arthropoda; Insecta; Lepidoptera; Bombycidae. The record is from Rfam.